UACGUAGGGUGCGAGCGUUGUCCGGAUUUAUUGGGCGUAAAGGGCUCGUAGGCGGCGUGUCGCGUCGGGAGUGAAAGCCCGUUGCUUAACGGCGGGUUGGCUUUCGGUACGGGCAUGCUGGAGUGCGGCAGGGGAGACUGGAAUUCCUGGUGUAGCGGUGGAAUGCGCAGAUAUCGGAAGGAACGCCGGUGGCGAAAGCGACGGACUGGAUCUCUUCUGACGCUGAGGCGCGAAAGCUAGGGGAGCAAACGGG
RNAcentral lists this ribosomal RNA (253 nucleotides) under uncultured bacterium. Its description in RNAcentral is "partial 16S ribosomal RNA". It matches the Rfam family "Bacterial small subunit ribosomal RNA", at positions 524 to 776 of the family's 1533-position model. The record is from RNAcentral.